Molecule: ribosomal RNA, 252 nt
Filed under: uncultured bacterium
Lineage: Bacteria
Description: partial 16S ribosomal RNA
Rfam family: Bacterial small subunit ribosomal RNA
Source: RNAcentral
UACGUAGGCAGCAAGCGUUGUUCGGAAUUACUGGGCGUAAAGAGUGUGUAGGCGGUGCUCUAAGUUCGGUGUGAAAUCUCCCGGCUUAACUGGGAGGGUGCGCCGGAAACUGGAUGCUUGAGCGCGGGAGAGGAAAGCGGAAUUCCUGGUGUAGCGGUGAAAUGCGUAGAUAUCAGGAGGAACACCUGUGGUGUAGACGGCUUUCUGGACCGUAGCUGACGCUGAGACACGAAAGCGUGGGUAGCAAACAAG